Molecule: ribosomal RNA, 780 nt
Filed under: Acinetobacter baumannii Naval-18
Lineage: Bacteria; Pseudomonadati; Pseudomonadota; Gammaproteobacteria; Moraxellales; Moraxellaceae
Description: bacterial SSU rRNA
Rfam family: Bacterial small subunit ribosomal RNA
Source: RNAcentral
AUUGAACGCUGGCGGCAGGCUUAACACAUGCAAGUCGAGCGGGGGAAGGUAGCUUGCUACCGGACCUAGCGGCGGACGGGUGAGUAAUGCUUAGGAAUCUGCCUAUUAGUGGGGGACAACAUCUCGAAAGGGAUGCUAAUACCGCAUACGUCCUACGGGAGAAAGCAGGGGAUCUUCGGACCUUGCGCUAAUAGAUGAGCCUAAGUCGGAUUAGCUAGUUGGUGGGGUAAAGGCCUACCAAGGCGACGAUCUGUAGCGGGUCUGAGAGGAUGAUCCGCCACACUGGGACUGAGACACGGCCCAGACUCCUACGGGAGGCAGCAGUGGGGAAUAUUGGACAAUGGGGGGAACCCUGAUCCAGCCAUGCCGCGUGUGUGAAGAAGGCCUUAUGGUUGUAAAGCACUUUAAGCGAGGAGGAGGCUACUUUAGUUAAUACCUAGAGAUAGUGGACGUUACUCGCAGAAUAAGCACCGGCUAACUCUGUGCCAGCAGCCGCGGUAAUACAGAGGGUGCGAGCGUUAAUCGGAUUUACUGGGCGUAAAGCGUGCGUAGGCGGCUUAUUAAGUCGGAUGUGAAAUCCCCCGAGCUUAACUUGGGAAUUGCAUUCGAUACUGGUGAGCUAGAGUAUGGGAGAGGAUGGUAGAAUUCCAGGUGUAGCGGUGAAAUGCGUAGAGAUCUGGAGGAAUACCGAUGGCGAAGGCAGCCAUCUGGCCUAAUACUGACGCUGAGGUACGAAAGCAUGGGGAGCAAACAGGAUUAGAUACCCUGGUAGUCCAUGCC